Molecule: ribosomal RNA, 455 nt
Filed under: uncultured bacterium
Lineage: Bacteria
Description: bacterial SSU rRNA
Rfam family: Bacterial small subunit ribosomal RNA
Source: RNAcentral
ACUCCUACGGGAGGCAGCAGUGGGGAAUAUUGCACAAUGGGCGCAAGCCUGAUGCAGCCAUGCCGCGUGUAUGAAGAAGGCCUUCGGGUUGUAAAGUACUUUCAGCAGUGAGGAAGGUGGGUAUGUUAAUAGCAUACUCAUUUGACGUUAGCUGCAGAAGAAGCACCGGCUAACUCCGUGCCAGCAGCCGCGGUAAUACGGAGGGUGCAAGCGUUGUCCGGAUUUAUUGGGUUUAAAGGGUGCGUAGGCGGCCUGUUAAGUCAGUGGUGAAAGGUAUCAGCUCAACUGAUGACGUGCCAUUGAAACUGGCGGGCUUGAGUACAGACGAGGUAGGCGGAAUUUAUGGUGUAGCGGUGAAAUGCAUAGAUACCAUAAAGAACACCGAUAGCGAAGGCAGCUUACUAGGCUGAGACUGACGCUGAGGCACGAAAGCGUGGGGAGCGAACAGGAUUAGA